GUGAUGUCAUGGCGACUAAUGAUGUCACAGUGAUCCCUAAUGCAUUAUGACAUCAUUUUAUUACUGCAGUGUAUAUUUAUGGCAAUAUCACGCGAGUGUAAU
Molecule: long non-coding RNA, 102 nt
Organism: Haliotis rubra (blacklip abalone)
Lineage: Eukaryota; Metazoa; Mollusca; Gastropoda; Lepetellida; Haliotidae
Exons: 4
Source: RefSeq, a predicted model, not a curated record